GUCGCAAGACCAAAGUGGGGGACCUUCGGGCCUCAUGCCAUCAGAUGUGCCCAGAUGGGAUUAGCUAGUAGGUGGGGUAACGGCUCACCUAGGCGACGAUCCCUAGCUGGUCUGAGAGGAUGACCAGCCACACUGGAACUGAGACACGGUCCAGACUCCUACGGGAGGCAGCAGUGGGGAAUAUUGCACAAUGGGCGCAAGCCUGAUGCAGCCAUGCCGCGUGUGUGAAGAAGGCCUUCGGGUUGUAAAGCACUUUCAGCGGGGAGGAAGGCGGUAAGGUUAAUAACCUCAUCGAUUGACGUUACCCGCAGAAGAAGCACCGGCUAACUCCGUGCCAGCAGCCGCGGUAAUACGGAGGGUGCAAGCGUUAAUCGGAAUUACUGGGCGUAAAGCGCACGCAGGCGGUCUGUCAAGUCGGAUGUGAAAUCCCCGGGCUCAACCUGGGAACUGCAUUCGAAACUGGCAGGCUAGAGUCUUGUAGAGGGGGGUAGAAUUCCAGGUGUAGCGGUGAAAUGCGUAGAGAUCUGGAGGAAUACCGGUGGCGAAGGCGGCCCCCUGGACAAAGACUGACGCUCAGGUGCGAAAGCGUGGGGAGCAAACAGGAUUAGAUACCCUGGUAGUCCACGCCGUAAACGAUGUCGAUUUGGAGGUUGUGCCCUUGAGGCGUGGCUUCCGGAGCUAACGCGUUAAAUCGACCGCCUGGGGAGUACGGCCGCAAGGUUAAAACUCAAAUGAAUUGACGGGGGCCCGCACAAGCGGUGGAGCAUGUGGUUUAAUUCGAUGCAACGCGAAGAACCUUACCUGGUCUUGACAUCCACAGAACUUUCCAGAGAUGGAUUGGUGCCUUCGGGAACUGUGAGACAGGUGCUGCAUGGCUGUCGUCAGCUCGUGUUGUGAAAUGUUGGGUUAAGUCCCGCAACGAGCGCAACCCUUAUCCUUUGUUGCCAGCGGUUAGGCCGGGAACUCAAAGGAGACUGCCAGUGAUAAACUGGAGGAAGGUGGGGAUGACGUCAAGUCAUCAUGGCCCUUACGACCAGGGCUACACACGUGCUACAAUGGCAUAUACAAAGAGAAGCGACCUCGCGAGAGCAAGCGGACCUCAUAAAGUAUGUCGUAGUCCGGAUUGGAGUCUGCAACUCGACUCCAUGAAGUCGGAAUCGCUAGUAAUCGUAGAUCAGAAUGCUACGGUGAAUACGUUCCCGGGCCUUGUACACACCGCCCGUCACACCAUGGGAGUGGGUUGCAAAAGAAGUAGGUAGCUUAACCUUCGGGAGGGCGCUUACCACUUUGUGAUUCAUGACUGGGGUGAAGUCGUAACAAGGUAACCGUAGGGGAACCUGCGGUUGGAUCACCUCCUUACCUUAAAGAA
This 1369-nucleotide ribosomal RNA is filed under the name Klebsiella pneumoniae. Its description in RNAcentral is "bacterial SSU rRNA". It matches the Rfam family "Bacterial small subunit ribosomal RNA", at positions 192 to 1533 of the family's 1533-position model. Lineage: Bacteria; Pseudomonadati; Pseudomonadota; Gammaproteobacteria; Enterobacterales; Enterobacteriaceae. The record is from RNAcentral.